This 1179-nucleotide long non-coding RNA is filed under the name Callithrix jacchus (white-tufted-ear marmoset). RNAcentral describes it as "lncRNA (ENSCJAG00000072399.1)". Lineage: Eukaryota; Metazoa; Chordata; Mammalia; Primates; Cebidae. The record is from RNAcentral.
AUGACGGCCUCCAGGGAAGCCCUCUGGCCUUUGAGGCCCUCGAUCUCAGCCUGGAGCUGGCUGAUGUUCCGGUUCAUCUCGGAGAUUUGUCUUUGUACGCCGCAGGUCAUCCCCGUGCUUCCCAGCCAGCAUCUGCAGCUCCGCAUACUUGAUCUGGUAUACGCUCUCCGCCUCAGCCCGGCUGCGGUUGGCGACCUCCUCGUACUGCGCCUUGACCUCAGCGAUGUUGCUGUCCAUGUCCAGGGAGCAGCUGUUGUCCAUGGACAGCACCACAGAUGUGUCGGAGAUCGGGGACUGCAGCUCCCAGAUCUCAUCUUCAUACAGCUGCCUGAGGAAGUUGAUGUCUCAGUCAGUCCUUCCAGGCAAGACUCCAGCUCUACCUUGUUCAUGUCAGCUUCAUCCACAUCCUUCUUGAUGAGGACAAAUUCAUUCUCCAUCUCUGUACGCUUAUUGAUCUCUUCCUCAUACUUGUUCUUGAAGUCCUCCACCAGCCCCUGCAUGUUGCCAAGCUCCGCCUCCAGCUUCAGCUUCUCCUGGCCCAGUCUCCAGCUGCCACCUCAGGUUGUUGAUGUAGUUCUCAAACAUGUUGUCCAUGUUGCUCCUAGCCGUUUUCUGCUGCUGCAGGAGGCUCCACUUGGUCUCCAGCAUCUUGUUCUGCUGCUCCAGGAACCACACCUUGUCGAUGAAGGAAGCAAACUUGUUGUUGAGGGUCUUGAUCUGCUCCUUCUCCUGGGUACGCACAGCCUGGAUGUUGGGGCCCACAUCCACCUUAAUGGGGUUCAGCAGGCUCUGGUUGAUGGUGACGGCGGUGAUGCCUCCCAUGCCUAUGCCGCUGGCCCCAGCACAGUCUGCACCCAGGCCACCCUGGAAGCCACUGCUGCUCACUUGGGAGAAGCUCAAGGAGCUCAAGCGGGCACUGGGCCCACUCGUGAAGGAGCAGCUGCUGAAGGCCCCGGGGCCAGAGGUGGACACCUUGUAGGACUUCUGGGUCACCCUGAUGGACAUGGUGGAGGCAGGAGUGGAGGGAGGCAGGCUGAACCAGGGAGAGAUUCCAGAAGGAGCGGAGAAGCUGCUUCUUGCAAAACUACUUUUUUCUUGAGACAGGGUCUGGAUGUGUUGCUCAGACUGGAGUGCAGUGGUACGAUCUUGGCUCACAGCAACCCUGACCUUCUGGACUGA